RNAcentral lists this ribosomal RNA (513 nucleotides) under Triticum aestivum (bread wheat). RNAcentral describes it as "partial small subunit ribosomal RNA". Lineage: Eukaryota; Viridiplantae; Streptophyta; Magnoliopsida; Poales; Poaceae. The record is from RNAcentral.
AUGGGCCAAGCUUCUGUUGCUAUGCCAUCUGUGCAGGUUAGUUCUUUAUAUGCGCCCCUGGAUCUCACUGGGCUGGUGUCUAAAUUCUCUUGGGCCGAGAUUGUCAAUGCCAUUGAUAGGUCUCCCAAUAACAAGAGCCCAGUAGCGGAUGGCUUUACUAAUGAGUUCUACAAGGCGUUCAAGCAUGUUCUCAGGCAUGAUAUUCUCCGGUUCUUUGCUGAUUUUCAUUGCAAUAGAGUAUCCUUAGAUGGCAUCAACACAACAUACAUCACUCUGCUUCCCAAGAAGGACACUCCGCUUGAGAUACGUGACUUCAUGCCUAUUUCUUUGGUUCACAGCAUGCCAAAGCUUGCUUCCAAGGUGCUGACAAACAGGUUGCAAAAUAGAGCCCCAGAGUUGGUGCAUUCCUUGCAAUCUGGUUUUUGUGAGUUAGAUCAAUCAUGGAAAACUUUGCUCUGGCAACUGAGUUGGUACAGUGUGCUCACAAAAGGAGAUUGCCAGUUAUUGCUCUAA